CGCGCAGGGCCGCAGAGCCGCAGGACUAACCUGGCUUGCGCCCUGCAGCCCCGGGCUCGCCCGGCGGCCCCGCCCCCUCCCCUGCCGGGGCUUUUCCUGCGGAGCUCAGGAAGCCGGCCUAGCACAGCCUCGGGACUUGGGCUCCGCUCCCAGGGAGGCCGGCGCGGGGCCGCUGGGACAGGGGUUGUCGGCGCCGCUGGGGGCCCGCAGCCAGCCCUCGGCCCGGGCCGGAGCUUCAGUUCAGGUCGGCGCUCCAGGGGUCUUUGUUGGCCGCGACUGAGGGAGCGGGAGCCGGGGGAGGAGCUGGGGAGGCGGCGGCUGGAGCCGGAGAGUGGGAGCCAGCGAGCGGAGUAGGGAGCGAGCGCGCGGAGUUGGGAGCGAGGAGGGUGGGAGGGAGGAGAAAAAGUAAAUAGGAGAGAGCGAAACAAGGCUGAACAGGCAGACGGGCGGGCAUUAGAGCCAGCUGCUGCUGCUGGGGGAGAGCGGGAGUUCAGGCAGCUCGCACCCCAGCCCCGGGCCAGGGCCACAUCCAGACAGCAGGCGGCCAGCGCCCUGGGGAAGCGGUACCGUGGGGGAGCCGGCAGCAGGCCCUCCGCGCGCCUCCGCCUGAGGGAGGCUCGGCGUCCUCUGCCCCAGCCCUGCCGCCCAGCGCCUGCCCUCGAAGCCCCGCGGCCGCCCGCGCCCUCCUCCCAUCAGUGGCCUAGCAGCCCUCGGCCCAAGGCUUCUCCGGCCCCUGGCUGCCCGCGGACGCCCUCCCACAGUCAUGAACCCCCAUGAGUGAGCAGCGGAGGAAGGAGGAGCGGCCGACUCGGACGUGGACGGCUUUUUUCGGACAGCUCUUAUUUAAAAAGAAGAUGAAAAACAGAAUCUCUGAACAACAGCUAAGGCAGGCAUCCAGGAGUAGGAAUACUUUUCUAACACAGCCCAGAUGUAAACAUCAGGAGCAGACGCUCAGAUGGCUGAUUUACCCCAGCUGGACUCCUCUGAGGCUUUGGCAGUGGCCAGCCCUGUGCCCCAAGCUGGAGUAAGCCGACUCUCCCCAUGGGGGAAGCAGCUCCUCCAACUCCCAGACUGUGUGGUUCUGCACAACAGUGAAGAAAAUAUUGAGGAACCGAAACAAGCUGAGGCAGGUAAGUCCCACCCCCUCCUCCACUCAGAUGCCGGAGGCCUGACACCAGUUAGGCUGGUGUACCUGCAGCAUUCUGCCCUGGGUUUGCCUUUGAUCCCACCCCUGCAGUCUAGCCACCAGGAAACAAAAAAUCUCCUCUCUGGGUUUUCUAAGCCUUACCUUUUGGUUCAGGGCAGAUCAGAACCCAGGAAACCCUGAACUCCAGAUAGGCAUCUGAAGGGAGAGGUGUCUCCACUCUGCCUCCAGCUCAGGUCCUCAGAACUACGCUUUGCCCUCACCUCACCUGACUGGUGCAGCACAUCCAGCCUCGUGCUCCUUGUUUUCUGGACAGUUUCCUUUUGUUGUGUUUGAUUUCCUUCUCUCAAGUAGUCAUUCAGUUUCCACAGUGAAUCCUGACUGGCACGCUAGAGUAUACACAGGCCUGAACACAUACUUGAAAGGUUGUGCCUCUCUUGCCUCCUGUUCCAGCUUCCUACCAUCCAAACUACACAAAUCAGCAAGUACCUCUUCCAAAUUUGUUUUUUUAGUGAACAGGGUCUCACUCUGUUGCCCAAGCUACAGUGCAGUGGUACAGUCAUAGCUCACUGCAGCCUCCUACUCCUGGGCUCAAGUGAUCCUCCCACCUCAGCCUCCCAAAUAGUUGGGACUACAGGUGCAUGCCACUACACCCAGCUAAUUAUUAAACUUUUUGUCGAGAUGGGAUCUCACUAUGUUGCCCAGGCUGGUCCUGAACUCCUGGGCUCAAGUGAUGCUCUUGACCCAAAGCGCUGGGA
RNAcentral lists this long non-coding RNA (1902 nucleotides) under Piliocolobus tephrosceles (Ugandan red Colobus). RNAcentral describes it as "lncRNA (ENSPTEG00000012704.1)". Lineage: Eukaryota; Metazoa; Chordata; Mammalia; Primates; Cercopithecidae. The record is from RNAcentral.